AUUGCUUUUUGGAUUUUUGGCUAAGAUCAAGUUUAGUAUCUGUUCUUAUUGGUUUAAUAUAUGAUAUGUCCUCUGUCCUGUAUUAGAUUGUAUUACAUCUAUUGCAAACACUGACAGGAGCCCUUGACAAAUAUAUGAUCAGAGCCGGUGCCGCGGCUCACUAGGCUAAUCCUCCGCCUUGCAGCGCUGGCACACC
Small nuclear RNA from Oryctolagus cuniculus (rabbit), 196 nucleotides. Its record names the gene U2. It matches the Rfam family "U2 spliceosomal RNA". Rfam says of the family: U2 is a small nuclear RNA (snRNA) component of the spliceosome (involved in pre-mRNA splicing). Lineage: Eukaryota; Metazoa; Chordata; Mammalia; Lagomorpha; Leporidae. The record is from Ensembl.